RNAcentral lists this ribosomal RNA (570 nucleotides) under Triticum aestivum (bread wheat). RNAcentral describes it as "partial small subunit ribosomal RNA". The record is from RNAcentral. Lineage: Eukaryota; Viridiplantae; Streptophyta; Magnoliopsida; Poales; Poaceae.
AUGAGCGAACAGGACCCUGUGAAGCUUGACAGCAAGUUUCUGAAUACUUUGUUAAGAGGUGUAGUAACACUGUCGGUCUAUCAGUGCUCCCUGAAAAAUAACGAGGAAGCAUCCAAGGUUGAGUAUAGGGUGUGGAACCCCUUCAGAUCCAAGCUGGCUACUGCUGUGCUCGGUGGUGUGGACAACAUCUGGAUUGCUCCUGGAACACGUGUGAUGUACCUCGGAGCUGCCUUUAGAACAACCGUGUCUCAUGUGUCUGACAUUGUUGGACCGACUGGGUUGGUGUAUGCCGUUGAGUUCUCUCACCGGAGUGGUAGGGAUCUUGUCAACAUGGCCAAGAAGAGGACCAAUGUCAUCCCCAUCACUGAGGAUGCUAGGCACCCGGCAAAGAUGUACGUAGUACUGUCUUCAAACCUUGAUGCAUUCAUUCGUUGUGUGCUUCGCCCCGGCACUGCUAGCCUCGCCGGCUCACUGUGCAUUGGCUCCAUCGGCACGGCUGGUGGUUAUCAAGAUCGCACCGGCACGGACACGCAUGGCAUAUGUUCGAUGAAGUGCACAAAAAAAAAAUGA